RNAcentral lists this long non-coding RNA (380 nucleotides) under Ananas comosus (pineapple). RNAcentral's name for it is "long non-coding RNA (ACOM_LNC003748)". The record is from RNAcentral. Lineage: Eukaryota; Viridiplantae; Streptophyta; Magnoliopsida; Poales; Bromeliaceae.
UUAUGACUUUGAACAUUGAUUGAGAAUAAUCGUGGUUUUCGUUUGCUUUUAUGAAAAUGGUUUUCUACCUCUCGUGGUAACUGAUUUUUUGAAGGAAAAGGUUUCCGUGUGGAAAACGGUUUUAAAAAAAAAAAUAUUUUUCGCUUUUCAUGAUUCUAGUAUUUCAAAAUGAAUUUCCGGGUAGAAAACGUUUUAAAUAAUAGAUGUGAUUGAUUGAAUGUUAAUCGUGAUGUUGUGAUGCGGUGAAUGUAUAUAUAGUUAAUGAAUGUUUGUGGUUGUAUCUUGUACUUGCACGACAUCGAGCAAAUAUAGGGGAGACUCUGUCUAUGUGAACAGUGGAUUUUCUAUAUUUGAGGCGGAUUUAGCACCUCUGGAGUCAA